GUGACGGCAUCAUCGCUCCGAUCCGCUUGAGCCGUUUGAUCGCGUUUCGAGUAAUAAAGUUUUUGUGAAUCAGCUUAGAAACACGGUACGCGCUCCGCGAUACGGUUAACCGAGUCGAGUCAGUUUAAGUUCCACGUCGGACGAGGAGGCAGCUUACGUCGGACCAGUACAACGACCUUCCGCGCUCCCAAUCUUGGAAAGGAAAAGCUGAAAUGAACGUCCAGGAAGAUGGAAGGGACGACCAUGAAGGACGCAGGCGAUCGUGUCAAGGAUUUUGUUCGGAAACUUAAGAAGACGUCGGUGGAUGUAAAGAGGACGAGAAAGAAAAGAAGCAGCAGCCUACUGUCUGAGCGAAGGGCGACGUUACGAGCUUUCGAAUGGGAGGUUACAGGGUGAAGAAAGUCCGAAGGCUUACACCGGAGCAGGGGAUUUCCGCGCGAAAUCAAGAUCCCGGUUUUAAGGCGGGGACACCGGGUUAAUGGCGUGUGCAUUAUUCUGAUAAAUCGACCCCACGGCUGGCGUCAAACCUGACUCCGUCGUGACAGGAACCUUGGUCAAUCGUAUCUGUACCUCUACGCAAGACGUUCGAUCCCCUCGCCAUGGUUCUUCACGUAGAAAUUUCAUACCAACGAAUCAAAUCAUUUUAUCGUACCUUUUCAUUUUUCCCAAUUCUAUCCGAGACUUUCUUAAACGGGAAGAUGCAAUUAAACUUGCAUCAUUUUCCAGUAAUCGAGUCAAGCUUAAAAUCGUACAAAAAUUUGUAUCGCGUAGAGAAAAAGAAUAAUUCGACUGUCUCGAAUUUAUAGGGACACUGAUUAAGUAACUUAAUAUCCAGAUCGGCAGAUAAAGACCUUAAGUUCCGGCGGUCGCGAGCCACGAGAUGGAUGCGAACGCGGCAAAAUAUUCGGAACGAAUGAACGGCGUCGCCGUGGACACGGCUACCGUGCAUUUGUCCAGUUCCGUGGCCGUACGACCGGAUCGUAUUAAUCCGCCGCUAAUGAGUACCGCCGCCGUGGCACGCAGCCGCGCCGAUCUGCCUCGCACGGCCAGAUCAUCCCCGGGAGGAUACAAACUCGGAACCUCGGGCUCAUUACGUCCCGACGUAGCGUGUGCUUCGUGACCGGCUCAAUAUUUAACGCGUCUCGAGCCAUUCCAUCACCUUUCGAUAUCUCGACACCUGGCUCGAGGAUUAGGGAACGACCGGCUCGAGCCUCGUGACUCGAAUCGAUUGCCGUUGAUUACCGAUUCUAUUACGAAACGCUUGCCGAUUGGCCGAGCCGCGCUCUCAAUUUCCACGAAAAUCUGUACGAACCAGAUUAAUGGAAAAGAUUUUGUCAACCUUGCGAGCGAUUCGAGAGAUUUGAAGUUAGAACAAUUCUGAUAAAAAUACAUAAAUGGCAGAAAAAUAAUCGGGAAUCUUAAUUGAGAAAACGUGUAAACGCUGCUUACGGUCAUAUUCGAUAGGAAAAAUCGUAAUUUAUUUCUGUAAACUAUAGUAAUGUAUGUACGUUAAACUAAGAUUUUGAGAAUUCUUAGCAUGCACUAUCGGAGCUAAAAUAUAUUUCAGGACACGUUAAUUAACCGAGAAGUCACAAUUACGGUUCGAGAGUGAGUCGGGUCCGAUAAAAAUCCGAAUUCCCUGCAUCUCGUUAUCUGCUGGAUCUGUAAGUAUUGAUUCGGUCUCGGUUGCUCGGUCCGGCCCGAUAAUUAGUCAAUCAGUCAGCCGAACGCGUGUUGCUUUUAUUGAAAUAUGUCGUGGACCCUCUUAAAAAGCGAGUCCACGAUUCAUUCAUGCCGGCCCAUUCCCGUCCCGUUUCCCUUUCGCUUCGCCCGGCAACUUUUACGCGUACUUCGUCAUUAAUCGUACGAUUAAGCCGUCCGAUAACGCCCUCUCUUCGCGGCCGUACAACCAGACGACUCCCUAGAAACUUGUGGUUCCAAAGUGGUUCCCGAGGAACCUGGGACCGCCUACCUGGAUCCACGAUCUCGAUUUUUCACGCUGGGACUCGAGAACGUUUCGGCGGAUACGAAUAUACACCCUUAUCGAUUCCGCGAACCCGAACGAUUCCUUGCUCACCCUAACAAUUAAUUGCAACGCCGAAUUAAGGUCCGGGAAUCUCAGUAAAAUAGAAUACUUUGUAGAUCUCGAAAUUCAAAUGAAAAUGAAAGUAGAGCAACCGAUUUUACUAAAAAGCUUUUAAAAGAACUAAGCUCUUCUCUUCGGAUUCGAGUUACCAGGAACGGAAGUAACAAAUAAUCGGUCCAAGGUGGCAAGGCAAACCGCGCGUAACGUGAAAGCGGGAAAAGCAGGAGGGAAUCGAGAGAAACUUUACACGUGGAGUAACAGAGAACGAGAGAUCUAGGAAUGGAUGCAAGGAAAAUAGAGAAACGCGACGGAUGGUCGCGCCCCAUAUAAUCUCCGCGAUGCUUCUCGAGGUUUCUUCUCUCCGCUUUGGAGAUCAUCUCGGAACAGAGUAGAAGAAUCAUUGUAGCUGUUCCAUUGUCGUCGAGUUUGUCACGUUAGGACGAAACGGCCGUUCUUUUCCGAUAGGAAAUUGAUUACCACAUAGAUUUUGAUUAAUUCGAGAAUUAAUUGCAAGUAGAAUUAAUGAUUCUAGAAGGUAAAAUCCUUCAUACCAGGUCUUGUAUUCCGCACGUAUUUAAUUUUAUAAAUCACCAGGCGGAGUAUCGAUGUCAGAAACUACAUAUGUUUCUAAUUCAGACUUGUGAGUCUACAUUCAUUAUGAUUUAUUCAUUGGAUGGGUUUAUGAAAUUAAUUCACGAGGCGGUUGAAAAUCGAUUAAAAAGGUAGUUUCUUCACGGUGACGCCUAUGGAUGGUUCGUAUAUCGUGGAUGCAUGUACACGUUCUAUAUACAGUGGUACCGAAUUUGCCCGGCCAAAGCAAACCGUAUGUCCGGACAUCGGCACGAUUUAUCGCGUUGACACGUGUCCCUUAUGCCGAGACGCGUCCCCCGACCCCGGCGUGCGCGGGCCUCUCUUUUAACCAUGAUUAAAAUACAUUCUCAAGGAUGGAACGUCCCGAAUUUUCUACGAACCAGUUAAACACAAUAAAAAUUGAUAACUCAGCAAAUCUCCGAGGACUUUAUUAAACGCGAAAUGAAAAUGUAAACGCGUUGCCUUUGUACAUUGAAAAAAUGGAAAUCCGAGUUAUUUGAUUAUUAGAAAGUAUGUCAUAAAAUGUUUGCCAAUGUAAGAAUAAAAUCGUCGCAAAUCUA
Molecule: long non-coding RNA, 3237 nt
Organism: Ceratina calcarata
Lineage: Eukaryota; Metazoa; Arthropoda; Insecta; Hymenoptera; Apidae
Exons: 3
Source: RefSeq, a predicted model, not a curated record